CCUACGGGAGGCAGCAGUGAGGAAUAUUGGUCAAUGGGCGAGAGCCUGAACCAGCCAAGUCGCGUGAGGGAAGACGGUCCUAUGGAUUGUAAACCUCUUUUGUCGGGGAGCAAAAAGGCCUCGUGAGGCCACAAGUGAGAGUACCCGAAGAAAAAGCAUCGGCUAACUCCGUGCCAGCAGCCGCGGUAAUACGGAGGAUGCGAGCGUUAUCCGGAUUUAUUGGGUUUAAAGGGUGCGUAGGCGGACUGGAAAGUCAGCGGUAAAAUCGAGAGGCUCAACCUCUUUCCGCCGUUGAAACUGUCGGUCUUGAGUGGGCGAGAAGUAUGCGGAAUGCGUGGUGUAGCGGUGAAAUGCUUAGAGAUCAUACAGAACACCGAUUGCGAAGGCAGCUUACCAAGCUACUUCUGACGUUGAGGCACGAAAGCGUGGGGAGCAAACAGGAUUAGAUACCCGGGUAGUC
This 460-nucleotide ribosomal RNA is filed under the name uncultured bacterium. RNAcentral's name for it is "partial 16S ribosomal RNA". It matches the Rfam family "Bacterial small subunit ribosomal RNA", at positions 338 to 795 of the family's 1533-position model. The record is from RNAcentral.